UACGUAGGGACCGAGCGUUGUCCGGAAUCAUUGGGCGUAAAGAGCGUGUAGGCGGCCACUUAAGUCCUGCGUGAAAUCUUGCGGCUCAACCGCAAGCGGUCGUGGGAAACUGGGUGGCUAGAGUGCGGGAGAGGAGAGUGGAAGUUCCUGGUUGAGCGGUGGAAUGCGCAGAUAUCAGGAAGAACACCCGUGGCGAAGGCGGCUCUCUGGAACGCAACUGACGCUGAGACGCGAAAGCGUGGGGAGCAAACAGG
This 254-nucleotide ribosomal RNA is filed under the name uncultured bacterium. RNAcentral describes it as "partial 16S ribosomal RNA". It matches the Rfam family "Bacterial small subunit ribosomal RNA", at positions 524 to 776 of the family's 1533-position model. The record is from RNAcentral.